UACGGGGGGAGCGAGCGUUGUUCGGAAUCACUGGGCGUAAAGGGCGUGUAGGCGGUUCGGUAAGUGGGAUGUGAAAUGCCCCGGCUCACCCGGGGACCUGCAUCCCAAACUGCCGGGCUUGAGUACAGGAGAGGGUGGGGGAAUUCCAGGUGUAGCGGUGAAAUGCGUAGAUAUCUGGAGGAACACCGGUGGCGAAGGCGCCCACCUGGCCUGCUACUGACGCUGAUGCGCGAAAGCUAGGGGAGCAAACGGG
This 253-nucleotide ribosomal RNA is filed under the name uncultured bacterium. Its description in RNAcentral is "partial 16S ribosomal RNA". It matches the Rfam family "Bacterial small subunit ribosomal RNA", at positions 524 to 776 of the family's 1533-position model. The record is from RNAcentral.